Molecule: non-coding RNA, 31 nt
Filed under: Rattus norvegicus (Norway rat)
Lineage: Eukaryota; Metazoa; Chordata; Mammalia; Rodentia; Muridae
Source: RNAcentral
UAGUGACAUACUGAGAGCAGUUUAGUCUCCA